RNAcentral lists this long non-coding RNA (247 nucleotides) under Vigna radiata. RNAcentral describes it as "long non-coding RNA (VRAD_LNC006761)". Lineage: Eukaryota; Viridiplantae; Streptophyta; Magnoliopsida; Fabales; Fabaceae. The record is from RNAcentral.
GCUCAUCAAGUUCAAGCGACUCAGUGUCGGGACACUCGGUAUCGUUAUCGAGUCGCGUAGCAGAAUAAAACUAAUAAGCGGAAAGCAUGUUCGGUCAAGGUAACCUUUGAAAGUGAUAGACAUUACAAGGUGUUAUACAUAGUAAUAUAUAUCUGAUUGACAUUGAAAGUGCGUCUAGUCAUAGCAUAUCAUGUUUAGUUGCAAAAGAAGAAAAUCCUUCGCUACGACAUAAAAGGGUUGCGCACAU